AGCUGUCCUUCUGAGGCGGGAACCGUGAGCCAAUUCAGCAGAAGAUUGUUAAGACAAGAUGAAGAUGUCGGCAUUUUUUACUAGCGAAGCACAUUCUUUGUUGAAAGGGUAAAAACUAGUUCACAAGGAAGAAAUCUCCUUUCAUCAUUAUAAAUUUAUGAUACACACUUGUCAUCAUACACAAUUAUUUGGUGGCUCUUUUAGGGGUAUUGAUAGGGGUCGGCUGUAUAGUAGACACCCUAUUAGGCAAGUGUAUGUUACAAAGAAUAAAAGAUCUAGCUAACUAUAACUAUAAAUAGUAGUUAGGUAAGGCAAUUACACACUUUUGGAGAAAUUAGAAGUUGGGGCUGAUUUAGGAAAUCAGUUUGGGGCAGUUAUCUUCUCUCAUAUGAUUCUCUCUCUUGUAUACACAUUCCCAUUGUAAUAAUACAUACUUACAGGUCAAGAUACAUUGAUCUUAUAUCAAUUCUCCUUCUUGACCAAGAUAAUAGGGCUAGCAUAGGGACUUAUACUCGGUCGAAUUACUCCAGCUUGUAACAUUUCCAUCACUAACCUUUCAAUCUCAGUCUGGUAGUGCGGAUACUUGUAUGGUCGGAUGUUCGGAAUCUCAGCUCCUUCUUUCAGAUGGAUGGCAUGAUCAUAUCUCCUCCUAGGGGGAAGACCCUACGGAUCCUCAAAAACCCCGCAAAUUGAUGCAAUACCCCCUCCACCACUUCCACAACAGGUUGAUCCGGUUUUGAUGGCUCCAUCGAUUCCACACAAUGCAACAUCAGUCCCUCCCCUUCUUCCUUCAGCAUUUACAUCAUGGCCCCAAAUGACAGUUGUAUUUUGUCAAAGUCAAAUCUCCUCAAAUCUUAUGCACCAACCCGCCUCAUUUCAGCAUCAACUCCAACCGGCCAAAAUCAGCUUUAACCUCUCCCAAGCUAGCUAACCAAUCCAACCCAAGAACCACAUCCACUCAUUUUAUUCCAAAAAGAUAAAACUCUUGGACCGCCUUCAAGUCUUGUACUAACAACUUCAGUGUUGUACACUUUCCUUGGCACCUGAUUUUAUGCCCAUCACCCACCUCCACCACAUAUGUGGGGGUUUCCACUAUAGCCAAUUGUAACUUCUACACCAAUUCCAAUGAAAGGAAACUGUGAAAGGCUCCACAAUCAAUCAAACUAACCACCUCAUCUCCUUUCACUCUACCCGCCACCUUCCAAGAUUUGGCUGAUGUCAAUUCUACCAUUGAGCAAAGAGAAAGCUGCAAGGCACGAAACUGCUCAACUCUCGGUUCAUCGUGUCCUUCUCCAUCGUUGUCCUCAUCUUCUUCCAAGAUAAGCCUUCUUAAUUGCUUAUUCUUUCAUCGAUGAUCCCUAUGAUACGGUUCAUCGCACUGAAAACAUAAGCCUUUCUCCUUUUUUCUCGCAUUUCUGCUCUAGUGAGUUGUUUGAAUCCUUCUCCUCUAGCCCGAGAUGCAUCCACCACACUAGCAAACCCCGCACUACUUUUAUCACUGCCGGUUGCACUUGCAUCAGAAAUUUUUCCAACUGAUCCCCUUAUAUCCAUGGUAGUUAAAAUCGCGUGCCGGCACGUGAGAUCGGAUGUUUUUACGUGUUCCAGCGGCGCAACCGUGCUCGAUCCCAUUAACGUGUUCCAGCGAAGGUGAAAUCGUGAAAUCGUCGUGUAAGAUCGUGGAAUCGGUGGAAUCGGCGCUUCCACCGUUCCUAGGUGCGGAGGUUCAAAGUUUUGGGCAUCAACCCGUUUCUUGACCCGGUUUGUAAAAAACCCUAAUUUCCUAAAUUAAAGAAUCAUUUCAGACUUUGAAGGGUAGAAGUGGGGAAGUAAAUUAAAAAAUAUUAGAAAACGUACAUAGUGAAGGUAAGAUCUUCUCCUUCUUCUUCUUAGAAAACCCUCUUCCUUUCUCUUUCUUUCUCUUCUUCUCCCUUUCGUUUCUCUCUCUUCUGUUUUAUUUUUCCUCUUUUUCUUUUCUUCUGCUAACAGUGUAUCAAUAUAUAUAAGUGGCGUG
RNAcentral lists this long non-coding RNA (2011 nucleotides) under Lupinus angustifolius (narrow-leaved blue lupine). RNAcentral describes it as "long non-coding RNA (LANG_LNC001901)". The record is from RNAcentral. Lineage: Eukaryota; Viridiplantae; Streptophyta; Magnoliopsida; Fabales; Fabaceae.